Molecule: non-coding RNA, 51 nt
Filed under: unclassified sequences
Description: L31-Actinobacteria ribosomal protein leader
Rfam family: L31-Actinobacteria ribosomal protein leader
Source: RNAcentral
ACGGUUCCGGUUCACGUCCGAUCAUCAGCACAUGAAGGCGACCCGGCGACC